GAUGAACGCUGGCGGCGUGCCUAAUACAUGCAAGUCGAGCGAACAGAUGAGGAGCUUGCUCCUCUGACGUUAGCGGCGGACGGGUGAGUAACACGUGGAUAACCUACCUAUAAGACUGGGAUAACUUCGGGAAACCGGAGCUAAUACCGGAUAAUAUAUUGAACCGCAUGGUUCAAUAGUGAAAGACGGUUUUGCUGUCACUUAUAGAUGGAUCCGCGCCGCAUUAGCUAGUUGGUAAGGUAACGGCUUACCAAGGCAACGAUGCGUAGCCGACCUGAGAGGGGGAUCGGCCACACGGGAACUGAGACACGGUCCAGACUCCUACGGGAGGCAGCAGUAGGGAAUCUUCCGCAAUGGGCGAAAGCCUGACGGAGCAACGCCGCGUGAGUGAUGAAGGUCUUCGGAUCGUAAAACUCUGUUAUUAGGGAAGAACAAAUGUGUAAGUAACUAUGCACGUCUUGACGGUACCUAAUCAGAAAGCCACGGCUAACUACGUG
This 497-nucleotide ribosomal RNA is filed under the name uncultured bacterium. Its description in RNAcentral is "partial 16S ribosomal RNA". It matches the Rfam family "Bacterial small subunit ribosomal RNA", at positions 28 to 507 of the family's 1533-position model. The record is from RNAcentral.